Molecule: ribosomal RNA, 436 nt
Filed under: uncultured marine bacterium
Lineage: Bacteria
Description: bacterial SSU rRNA
Rfam family: Bacterial small subunit ribosomal RNA
Source: RNAcentral
AAUAUUGGGCAAUGGAGGCAACUGUGAUCCAGCCAUGCCGGGUGCAGGAUGACGGCCGUAUGGGUUGUAAAGUGAUUUUAUAUAGGAAGAAACCUUUUCACGUGUGAGAAGCUGACGGUACUAUAAGAAUAAGGACCGGCUAAUUCCGUGCCAGCAGCCGCGGUAAUACGGAGGGUCCGAGCGUUAUCCGGAAUCAUGGGGUUUAAAGGGUCCGUAGGCGGAAAUCUAAGUCAGUAGUGAAAUCAGCAGCUCAACUGUAUAAUUGCCAUUGAUACUGGGUUUCUUGAAUUAGUGUGAAGUGGUUAGAAUGUGUAGUGUAGCGGUGAAAUGCAUAUAUAUUACACAGAAUACCAAUUGGAAGGCAGAUCACUGCACUAUAUUGACGCUGAGGGACGAAAGCGUGGGGAGCGAACAGGAUUAGAUACCCUGGUAGUCC